This 253-nucleotide ribosomal RNA is filed under the name uncultured bacterium. RNAcentral's name for it is "partial 16S ribosomal RNA". It matches the Rfam family "Bacterial small subunit ribosomal RNA", at positions 524 to 776 of the family's 1533-position model. The record is from RNAcentral.
UACAGCGGGUGCGAGCGUUAAUCGGACUUACUGGGCGUAAAGGGCUCGUAGGUGGCCAACUAAGUCAGACGUGAAAUCCCCAGGCUUAACCUGGGAACUGCGUCUGAUACUGGAUGGCUUGAAUUCGGGAGAGGGAUGCAGAAUUCCAGGUGUAGCGGUGAAAUGCGUAGAUAUCUGGAGGAAUACCGGUGGCGAAGGCGGCAUCCUGGACCGAGAUUGACACUGAUGAGCGAAAGCUAGGGGAGCAAACGGG